CGGACGGGUGAGUAACGCGUGGGUAACCUGCCUCACACAGGGGGAUAGCAGUUGGAAACGGCUGAUAAUACCGCAUAAGCGCACAGUACCGCAUGGUACAGUGUGAAAAACUCCGGUGGUGUGAGAUGGACCCGCGUCUGAUUAGCUUGUUGGCAGGGUAACGGCCUACCAAGGCAACGAUCAGUAGCCGACCUGAGAGGGUGACCGGCCACAUUGGGACUGAGACACGGCCCAGACUCCUACGGGAGGCAGCAUG
RNAcentral lists this ribosomal RNA (256 nucleotides) under uncultured bacterium. RNAcentral's name for it is "partial 16S ribosomal RNA". It matches the Rfam family "Bacterial small subunit ribosomal RNA", at positions 99 to 353 of the family's 1533-position model. The record is from RNAcentral.